RNAcentral lists this ribosomal RNA (584 nucleotides) under uncultured Alphaproteobacteria bacterium. Its description in RNAcentral is "bacterial SSU rRNA". It matches the Rfam family "Bacterial small subunit ribosomal RNA", at positions 8 to 641 of the family's 1533-position model. Lineage: Bacteria; Pseudomonadati; Pseudomonadota; Alphaproteobacteria. The record is from RNAcentral.
AGAGUUUGAUCAUGGCUCAGGACGAACGCUGGCGGCAGGCUUAACACAUGCAAGUCGAACGAUCCUUCGGGAUAGUGGCAGACGGGUGCGUAACACGUGGGAACCUACCCUAAGGUACGGAAUAACUCAGGGAAACUUGUGCUAAUACCGUAUAUGUCUUCGGAUGAAAGAUUUAUCGCCUUAGGAUGGGCCCGCGGCAGAUUAGGUAGUUGGUGAGGUAAAAGCUCACCAAGCCGACGAUCUGUAGCUGGUCUGAGAGGAUGAUCAGCCACACUGGAACUGAGACACGGUCCAGACUCCUACGGGAGGCAGCAGUGAGGAAUAUUGGACAAUGGGGGCAACCCUGAUCCAGCCAUGCCGCGUGAGUGAUGAAGGCCUUAGGGUUGUAAAACUCUUUCGCUAGUGAAGAUAAUGACGGUAACUAGUAAAGAAGCCCCGGCUAAUUUCGUGCCAGCAGCCGCGGUAAUACGAAAGGGGCUAGCGUUGUUCGGAAUUACUGGGCGUAAAGCGCGCGUAGGCGGACCAUCAAGUUGGGGGUGAAAUCCCGGGGCUCAACCCCGGAACUGCCUCCAAAACUGCUGGUC